CACGAGAACCCGAAGAGAUCGGUUGUAGAGUCUGAGGGAGUUAGAGGAAUCAAAAGGAGAAACGGCAAUCGCUCUCAGUGACUAAAGAUUGUUUGCAUCUAGGAUCCAUGAAGUUCCCACUGUUUUUACCUGCGACAUUCCUACUGCUCUCGGCGUCUCUCGUCUGCUGCGUGAUCGAUUCCAUCAGCUUUUCGAAGUACUACUACGACAGCGCGAACUCGAACUGCACCAGCCAGCUGGCGAGCAAGGAAGUGAAAGCCUUGCCUGGCUUCAAGAGUACAGCUCUUGCCUGUUCACUGACGUGCAAAAACGACCCUGUUUGCGAUUUCUUUCUGAUU
Molecule: long non-coding RNA, 338 nt
Organism: Macrobrachium nipponense
Lineage: Eukaryota; Metazoa; Arthropoda; Malacostraca; Decapoda; Palaemonidae
Exons: 3
Source: RefSeq, a predicted model, not a curated record